GUAUAUUUUUUUAAACCUAAUAGAUUGUCAAUAACCCUUAGAUCCCCUUUUCUGACUCCUCCCUCCUUCAGUCCACUUUCCUGUUUUCUGAAAGCUUCAGUCUGUUUGUUUAAAGAGACUUAAGGAAAUUUUCUCUCCUCAGCCUUGUCAACUGCAGAAUUGUCUGACCCUCAGGAUGUCUUUGAAUGGGACAGAGAGUUGCUUGAAAACAAUGGAGGCUCUCGAAGUAGCGUAAAAAAACUUGGAUUAGAUCACUGCCAAAAGUUGAGUUAGGAAAGUGAACUGAUUUCGUUCUAUUCAAACCUGAGCAUUUCUAAAUACUUAAGAAAACA
RNAcentral lists this long non-coding RNA (332 nucleotides) under Struthio camelus australis. RNAcentral describes it as "lncRNA (ENSSCUG00000008857.1)". The record is from RNAcentral. Lineage: Eukaryota; Metazoa; Chordata; Aves; Struthioniformes; Struthionidae.